This 443-nucleotide ribosomal RNA is filed under the name uncultured bacterium. RNAcentral's name for it is "partial 16S ribosomal RNA". It matches the Rfam family "Bacterial small subunit ribosomal RNA", at positions 28 to 507 of the family's 1533-position model. The record is from RNAcentral.
GAUGAACGCUGGCGGCAUGCCUAACACAUGCAAGUCGAUCGGUAAGGCUCUUCGGAGUACACGAGAGGCGGACGGCUGAGUAACGCGUAGGAACACACCCUGCAGUGAGGGAUAAGACACCGAAAGGUGUUCUAAUACCGCAUACGGUCUUCGGAUUAAAGCAUUUAUGCGCUGAAGGAGUGGCCUGCGUCAUAUUAGAUAGUUGGUGAGGUAAUGGCUCACCAAGUCGAUGAUGUGUAGCUGGUCUGAGAGGAUGAUCAGCCAGACUGGAACUGAGACACGGUCCAGACUCCUACGGGAGGCAGCAGUGAGGAAUAUUUCACAAUGAGCGAAAGCUUGAUGGAGCAAUGCCGCGUGCAGGAUGAAGGCCCUCGGGUUGUAAAUUGCUUUUAUAAGAGAAGAUUAUGACGGUAACUUAUGAAUAAGGGACGGCUAACUACGUG